AUGGUUUCGUGGAGUGAUGACGGAUCCAACUCCUCCUCGUCUGGUGGCGACUCCGCCAGCAGUCCGGCUCCUCGCACCAUUGACUGCUCCGAUUGGAGCAGCCUUGCAGUAGAUCUACCUGUUAGAUGUGAGCACCAAGCAAUGUGUGAGAAGUUGGUUGCCUUUGAGUCUGUUGACAGUGGAGGAAGAUUCGUGGGUUGUGCACAAAAGGAUGGGCCUAAAUGCCCCUAUGUGCAUUGGGUUGAGCUAGAGCGGCCUCCUCAAUUGAAGAUGAGUCUAGCUAGGGUCUUGGACAUGUAUGAAGAGGUGGUCAACCUCAGGCUCAGGCAAAAUGUUGUUAAUGCUGAAGAAAACUUUAAGAUAUUGGGAGAGAAGAAAAAGAUGGAGCAAGAUCUGAGGUUUUUUAAACUAGAUUUUGCUAAGAUGGUGGCUGACAAGGAGCAGGCAAUUACUGAAUCGGGCAACACAAGGCUAGCUCUCUCUGACCUAAAGAUAGAACUCGAGAAGAAGAAAAUGUUUGAUAAAUCUCUGACCAACAUUCAUCAGGUGGUAAGGGCUAAAGCAGAGAAAGAGAGGGAUGAGAUGAAGCAAGAGAGGGACAAAAUGAUGGAAGAGAGGGACAAAUUGAAGGAAGAAAGGGAUCAGUUGAAGAAAGAGAUAAAGAAGCUAGAGUACAUGAUUGGUGACUUGUUCAAGCAUAAGGAAGACACCAAGUGCAAGAUAAGGAAGGACAGGGAGAUGCUAGAUGAAUGUGAGUGA
RNAcentral lists this ribosomal RNA (759 nucleotides) under Triticum aestivum (bread wheat). RNAcentral describes it as "partial small subunit ribosomal RNA". The record is from RNAcentral. Lineage: Eukaryota; Viridiplantae; Streptophyta; Magnoliopsida; Poales; Poaceae.